AACGAACGCUGGCGGCAUGCCUAACACAUGCAAGUCGAACGAGACCUCCGGGUCUAGUGGCGCACGGGUGCGUAACGCGUGGGAACCUGCCCUUAGGUUCGGAAUAACUCCCCGAAAGGGGUGCUAAUACCGGAUAAUGUCUUCGGACCAAAGAUUUAUCGCCUUUGGAUGGGCCCGCGUUGGAUUAGCUAGUUGGUAGGGUAAAAGCCUACCAGGGCGACGAUCCAUAGCUGGUCUGAGAGGAUGAUCAGCCACACUGGGACUGAGACACGGCCCAGACUCCUACGGGAGGCAGCAGUGGGGAAUAUUGGACAAUGGGCGAAAGCCUGAACCAGCAAUGCCGCGUGAGUGAUGAAGGCCUUAGGGUUGUAAAGCUCUUUUACCCGGGAUGAUAAUGACAGUACCGGGAGAAUAAGCUCCGGCUAACUCCGUG
Molecule: ribosomal RNA, 433 nt
Filed under: uncultured bacterium
Lineage: Bacteria
Description: partial 16S ribosomal RNA
Rfam family: Bacterial small subunit ribosomal RNA
Source: RNAcentral